GCAGAACGCGAAGAACCUUACCCAGGUUUGACAUCUUCGGAAGGCUUCCGAAAGGAAACUGUGCCGUAAGGAACCGAAUGACAGGUGAUGCAUGGCCGUCGUCAGCUCGUGUCGUGAGAUGUUUGGUUAAGUCCAUCAACGAGCGCAACCCUUAUAGUUAGUUGUAUUUUUCUAGCUAGACUGCCCUGGUAACAGGGAGGAAGGGGGGAUGAUGUCAGGUCAGUAUUUCCCUUACAUCUGGGGCUACAAACACGCUACAAUGGCCGGUACAAAGGGCAGCCAAGUCGCGAGACGGAGCAAAUCCCAUCAAAGCCGGUCCCAGUUCGGAUAGCAGGCUGAAACUCGCCUGCUUGAAGCCGGAAUCGCUAGUAACGGUAGGUCAGCAUACUACCGUGAAUACGUUCCCGGGUCUUGUACACACCG
This 423-nucleotide ribosomal RNA is filed under the name uncultured bacterium. RNAcentral describes it as "bacterial SSU rRNA". It matches the Rfam family "Bacterial small subunit ribosomal RNA", at positions 954 to 1392 of the family's 1533-position model. The record is from RNAcentral.